Long non-coding RNA from Mus musculus (house mouse), 338 nucleotides. RefSeq annotates it as predicted gene, 51603. The transcript is spliced from 3 exons. The record is from RefSeq and is a predicted model, not a curated record. NCBI's taxonomy places the organism in Eukaryota, Metazoa, Chordata, Mammalia, Rodentia, Muridae.
CAAGAAAUGACAGGGACACGUGGAUAUUGAGGGAAACCGAGACAGUCUGAUAGAAAAAAGGCAGAGGCUCAGCAGCACAGGAGUCAGCAGCCUGGGACCCUUAUAGGGUCUCUCACUGACCUAGAGCUCACCAAGUAAGCAAGGCUGCCAGGUUGCUGAGCCCCAGAGCUGCCAGCCUCCCUCACUCUGUGAUUCCAGGGUCUCACACUGAGCCUCGUGCUUGCUGCUGGUCAGUGAGCCUUUCCACCACCUGAGCAGAAGUGCAUGCCCUGACAGUCAGCUUUCAUGGAGGUCCUGGGAAUCUGAACUCAGAUCCUCAUGUUUAUGAGGUAAGCUCU